GAGAUCUUCAGCUGCAGCUCGGGGGGAUCCACCAUGUCACACAGGGCUCCUAGUCCAAGUGCUGCUGGGAGAGUCAGGGACCUGGCUCAUAGGGAUCAUUGAGAGAAUGAUCCCCUCAGCUGCUGAGCACUGGUGCCCCCUGCCCCAUCUGGUUGACUCUUACUCCAGUGUGCUAUAAAAAUAGCAUUUUCCAUGUGUGCCAUGAAGGCAAAAUGAUCUAAGCUGAGCCAGAGCCCCUGGAUCAGGGAUACUCACAGGAUGUAGGUGAUGACGCCUAUGCUCCUGCAAAAUAAAGAACAGUCAAGUCAGGGCCGCCUGGGUCCAAUCCCCGACCAGCAAGGGACACCCUCAUGGAUCUAAGGGGAAGAGGUCACUUGCCUCCUCCACAGCAGACCCUGGAUGCCGUCUCAUGCUCCACACCCCUCUCCAUCCCGCUCUUCAGCAGCAGCCCAGGGUGUGUUUGGAGUCAUCGAGCUCUGAAUCCUGAGUCCGAAGACCCGAGUUCAAGAUCAGACUCUUGCACUUGCAGGCUGUGUGAUUUCGCACUUUUUCAAAGCUUGGAGAUCAUGGAGGCAAAAGAGAGGACAGUAGCUUGAGAAGGAGGAAGGACUGAGCCCAUUCAACUGCGAAUGGAAAAGGUAGAGAGUGGGAAAGUGUAUUUGUCUUCUCUGACUGCUUUGUCUUGGUACCCUUUAGUUUCACUAUAAUGUGUCUAGGUAAGAUUUUUGUUUUUUUCUGCCUGGUAUAUAUUGUCCUUUCUGUGUCUGUGGAUGCAUGGAUGCAGUUCUGAAAAUUCUCAGCCAUUCUCUUCAAAUAGUGCUUCUCCUUUUUUUUGGUAUCUAUUUCCUCCUUUUAGAAUUCCAAAGAGACCUAUGAUAAGUUUUCUCUUUUUAUUCUCUUUUGCUUAUCCUCUCUUUCAUAUUUCUAUGUCUUUGUCACUCUACGGUGCUCUAGCUAAUUUGUUUCAGCUCUUUCAAUUCUUCAACUCUCUCCUUAGCUGUAUACAAUCUGAUGUAUAACCCAUUCACAGAGUUUUAAAUUUCAACAAUUAAAUUCUUUAAAGUUC
Molecule: non-coding RNA, 1066 nt
Filed under: Pongo abelii (Sumatran orangutan)
Lineage: Eukaryota; Metazoa; Chordata; Mammalia; Primates; Hominidae
Source: RNAcentral